RNAcentral lists this ribosomal RNA (484 nucleotides) under uncultured bacterium. RNAcentral's name for it is "partial 16S ribosomal RNA". It matches the Rfam family "Bacterial small subunit ribosomal RNA", at positions 30 to 507 of the family's 1533-position model. The record is from RNAcentral.
AUUGAACGCUGGGGGCAGGCCUAACACAUGCAAGUCGAGCGGAUGAAGGGAGCUUGCUCCUGGAUUCAGCGGCGGACGGGUGAGUAAUGCCUAGGAAUCUGCCUGGUAGUGGGGGAUAACGUCCGGAAACGGGCGCUAAUACCGCAUACGUCCUGAGGGAGAAAGUGGGGGAUCUUCGGACCUCACGCUAUCAGAUGAGCCUAGGUCGGAUUAGCUAGUUGGUGGGGUAAAGGCCUACCAAGGCGACGAUCCGUAACUGGUCUGAGAGGAUGAUCAGUCACACUGGAACUGAGACACGGUCCAGACUCCUACGGGAGGCAGCAGUGGGGAAUAUUGGACAAUGGGCGAAAGCCUGAUCCAGCCAUGCCGCGUGUGUGAAGAAGGUCUUCGGAUUGUAAAGCACUUUAAGUUGGGAGGAAGGGCAGUAAGUUAAUACCUUGCUGUUCUGACGUUACCAACAGAAUAAGCACCGGCUAACUUCGUG